Arvicanthis niloticus (Nile rat) is the source of this 675-nucleotide non-coding RNA. The record is from RefSeq and is a predicted model, not a curated record. Lineage: Eukaryota; Metazoa; Chordata; Mammalia; Rodentia; Muridae.
AUGCCACAGAUAGUUAAAUCAACUACAAUCCUGUGUACACAUACCCACUUGGAGGCCCAAGAUGGCGUUGUCCACGGGCUCGGGCUGCGGGUGAUGGUCUGCAGGCAGGAGCUGCCUUGCGCCUGGCACACCCUGCACAGCUCCGUGGUCUGUGCCAAGAACCAGGCAGCAUAACAAGGGAGACAAGCCUGUGAGCUAUGAGGAGGCACAUGCCCCGCACUACAUCGCACACCGAAAGGGCUGGCUGUCACUGCAUACAGGUAACCUGGAUGGAGAAGAUCAUGCUGCAGAGAGAACCCAGGAGGAUGUUUGUCUUCGAAAGUUUAUGGUGGGCACCUUUCCAGGCUGCCUGGCUGACCAGAUUAUUCUGAAGCGCAGGGCCAACCACGUGGACAUCUGUGCCCUGGUCCUCGGAAAGCUGCCAGCACACAAAUUCUACUUUCUCGUGGGCUACAGUGAGACUCUGUUGUCACACUUUUACAAGUGUCCUGUGAGACUCCACCUUCAAACUGUGCCCUCCAAGGUCGUGUACAGUACAUAUAAAGGGUGUUCUUUCUUUCGUCAAGCUGUAACCUGCAAAGGCCCACAGAAGUGAAGUCGAUCAAAUGCCUGCUCCCAGUGGGUGGAGGCGUGGACUCCAAGCUGCUGUUGAAUAAAACCCUGAUAAUGUUUUGU